Molecule: ribosomal RNA, 442 nt
Filed under: uncultured bacterium
Lineage: Bacteria
Description: partial 16S ribosomal RNA
Rfam family: Bacterial small subunit ribosomal RNA
Source: RNAcentral
CCUACGGGAGGCAGCAGUGGGGAAUAUUGGGCAAUGGGCGCAAGCCUGACCCAGCAACGCCGCGUGAAGGAAGACGGCUCUCGGGUUGUAAACUUCUUUUAAGAGGGACGAGCAGAAGACGGUACGUCUUGAAUAAGCCACGGCUAACUACGUGCGAGCAGCCGCGGCAGUACGUAGGUGGCAAGCGUUGUCCGGAUUUACUGGGUGUAAAGGGCGUGUAGCCGGGCUGACAAGUCAGCUGUGAAAUUCCGGGGCUCAACCCCGGACCUGCAUUUGAAACUGUUGGUCUUGAGUAUCGGAGAGGCAGGCGGAAUUCCUAGUGUAGCGGUGAAAUGCGUAGAUAUUAGGAGGAACACCGAUGGCGAAGGCGGCCUGCUGGGCGACAACUGACGGUGAGGCGCGAAAGCGUGGGGAGCAAACAGGAUUAGAUACCCGGGUAGUC